This 372-nucleotide ribosomal RNA is filed under the name uncultured prokaryote. RNAcentral describes it as "bacterial SSU rRNA". It matches the Rfam family "Bacterial small subunit ribosomal RNA", at positions 524 to 896 of the family's 1533-position model. The record is from RNAcentral.
GACGAACCGUGCGAACGUUAUUCGGAAUCACUGGGCUUAAAGGGUGCGUAGGCGGGGGGAUAAGUCGAGGGUGAAAGCCUCCAGCUUAACUAGAGAAGUGCCCUCGAUACUGUUUUUCUUGAGAGCGAUAGGGGCACACGGAACUUCCGGUGGAGCGGUGAAAUGCGUAGAUAUCGGAAGGAACGCCGGUGGCGAAAGCGGUGUGCUGGAUCUUUUCUGACGCUGAGGCACAAAAGCUAGGGUAGCGAACGGGAUUAGAUACCCCGGUAGUCCUAACCCUAAACGAUGAGUACUAGAUUGUGGGCUGACAUGGGUUCACAGUCGAAGCAAAAGUAUUAAGUACUCCGCCUGGGGAGUAUGGUCGCAAGGCUG